Molecule: long non-coding RNA, 12731 nt
Filed under: Brassica rapa (field mustard)
Lineage: Eukaryota; Viridiplantae; Streptophyta; Magnoliopsida; Brassicales; Brassicaceae
Description: long non-coding RNA (BRAP_LNC008550)
Source: RNAcentral
AGACUAACCACUAUAAAAUUGCUAUUCCUUAGAGAAACGGAGACAACAAAGGUUCUAAACCUCUUUGAACUUCAUCAUAUGUUAUUACAUGAUUCAACUAUGCAUUAAAACAGUAUUGUCAAAUUUUUUGAAUUUUUCUCAAAAUCUACGUGUUUUUGGUAAAUGCUCUAUAUAUGAAGCCUAUAAUCUUUUAAUUCGUUUUAAAAUUUAUAACCACAUUAUACAUUUUUUUUAAUUUAUGAUAAGCUCCUUUUCAUGGUACCUGGACAUCAUUCUAAUUUUCAAUCAAUUAAUUUAGCAAAACUGUAAAUACUCCCUAAAUCAUUGGACUAAUCACUAUAAAAUUGCUAUUCCUUAGAGAAACAGAGACAACAAAGGUUCCAAACCUCUUUGAACUUCAUCAUAUUUUAUUGCAUGAUUCAAAUAUGUAUUAAAAUUGUAUUCUCAAAUGUUUUGAAUUUUUCUCAAAAUCUAUGUCUACCCACCCCCUACGAAAAUAGUGAGUUUUCGGUAAAUGCUCUAUAUAUGAAGCCUAUAAUCUUUAAAUUUAUUUUAAAAUUUAAAACCACAUAAUACCUUUAUAUUAAUGUAUGAUAAACUUCUUUUCAUGGUACAUGGAUAUCGUUCUAAUUUUUUAUCUAUUAAUUUAGCAAAACUGCAAAUACUCCAUAAAUAAUUGGACUAACCACUAUAAAAUUGCUAUUCCCUAGAGAAACGGAGACAACAAAGGUUCCAAACCUAUUUGAACUUCAUCAUAUAUUAUUACAUGAUUCAAAUAUGUAUUAAAACUGUAUUUCAAAUUUUUUGAAUUUUUCUCAAAAUCUAUGUGUACCCCCCUUCGAAAAUAGUGAGUUUUCGGUAAAAGCUCUAUAUAUGAAGCCUAUAAUCUUUAAAUUUGUUUUAAAAUUUAAAACCACAUUAUACCUUUGUAUUAAUGUAUGAUAAACUUCUUUUCAUGGUACAUGGACAUCGUUCUAUUUUUUUAUCCAUUAAUUUAGCAAAACUGCAAAUACUCUCUAAAUCAUUGGAUUAACCACUAUAAAAUUGCUAUUCCCUAGAGAAACGGAGAUAACAAAGGUUCCAAACCUCUUUGAACUUCAUCAUAUGUUUUUACAUGAUUCAAUUAUGCAUUAAAACAGUAUUAUCAAAAUUUUUGAAUUUUUCUCAAAAUCUAUGUGUACUCCCCUACGAAAAUAGUGUGUUUUCGGUAAAUGCUCUAUAUAUGAAGCCGAUAAUCUUUUAAUUCGUUUUAAAAUUUAUAACCAUAUUAUACAUUUGUAUUAAUUUAUGAUAAACUCCUUUUCAUGGUACAUGGACAUCGUUCUAAUUUUUAAUCAAUUAAUUUAGUAAAACUGAAAUACUCCCUAAAUCAUUGGACUAACCACUAUAUAAAAUUGCUAUUCCUUAGAGAACAGAGACAAAAAAGGUUCCAAACCUCUUUGAACUUCAUCAUAUUUUAUUACAUGAUUCAAAUAUGUAUUAAAAUAGUAUUCUAAAUUUUUGAGUUUUUUCUCAAAAUCUAUGUGUUAACCCCUACGAAAAUAGUGAGUUUUCGGUAAAUGCUCUAUAUAUGAAGCCUAUAUUCUUUAAAUUUGUUUUAAAAUUUAAAACCACAUUAUACCUUUGUAUUAAUAUAUGAUAAACUUCUUUUCAUGGUAGAUGGACAUUGUUCUAAUUUUUUAUCCAUUAAUUUAGCAAAACUGCAAAUGCUCUCUAAAUCAUUGGACUAACCACUAUAAAAUUGCUAUUACCUAGAGAAACGGAGACAACAAAGGUUCCAAACCUCUUUGAACUUCAUCAUAUAUUAUUACAUGAUUCAAAUAUGUAUUAAAACAGUAUUUUCAAAUUUUUUGAAUUUUUCUCAAAAUUUAUGUGUACCCCCCCCCCUACGAAAAUAGUGAGUUUUCGGUAAAUGCUCUAUAUAUGAAGCCGAUAAUCUUUUAAUUCGUUUUAAAAUUUAUAACCAUAUUAUACAUUUGUAUUAAUUUAUGAUAAACUCCUUUUCAUGGUACAUGGACAUCGUUCUAAUUUUUAAUCAAUUAAUUUAGUAAAACUGUAAAUACUCCCUAAAUCAUUGGACUAACCACUAUAAAAUUGCUAUUCCUUAGAGAAACAGAGACAAAAAGGUUUCCAAACCUCUUUGAACUUCAUCAUAUUUUAUUACAUGAUUCAAAUAUGUAUUAAAAUAGUAUUCUCAAAUUUUUUUGAAUUUUUUUUCAAAAUCUAUGUGUUAACCCCUACGAAAAUAGUGAGUUUUCGGUAAAUGCUCUAUAUAUGAAGCCUAUAAUCUUUAAAUUUGUUUUAAAAUUUAAAACCACAUUAUACCUUUGUAUUAUGUAUGAUAAACUUUUUUCAUGGUACAUGUACUCGUUCUAAUUUUUUAUCCCAUUAAGUUAGCAAAACUGCAAAUACUCCCUAAAAUCAUUAGACUAACCACUAUAAAAUUGCUAUUCCCUAGAGAAACGGAGACAACAAAGGUUCCAAACCUCUUUGAACUUCAUCAUAAUUAUUUAUUAUUUGAUUCAAAUAUGUAUUAAAACAGUAUUUCAAUUUUUUGAUUUUUUUCAAAAUCUAUGGGUUAACCCCUACGAAAAUAGUUAGUUUUCGGUAAAUGCUCUAUAUAUGAAGCCUAUAAUCUCUAAUUUGUUUUAAAAUUUAAAACCACAUUAUAACUUUGUAUUAAUGUAUGAUAAACUUCUUUUCAGGGUACAUGGACAUCGUUCUAUUUUUUAUCCAUUAAUUUAGGAAAACUGCAAAUACUGCCAAAUCAUAAAUCAGUAACCACUAUAAAAUUGCUAUUCCCUAGAGAAACGGAGACAACAAAGGUUCCAAACCUCUUUGAACUUCAUCAUAUAUUAUUACAUGAUUCAAAUAUGGUAUUAAAACAGUAUUUUCAAAAUUUUUUGAAUUUUUCUCAAAAUCUAUGUGUACCCCCCCUACGAAAAUAGUGAGUUUUCGGUAAAUGCUCUAUAUAUGAAGCCUAUAAUCUUUAAAUUUGUUUUAAAAUUUAAAACCACAUUAUACCUUUGGAUUAAUGUAUGAUAAACUUCUUUCAUGGUACAUGGACAUCGUUCUAAUUUUUAAUAAUGUAUGAUAAACUUCUUUUCAUGGUACAUGGACAUCGUUCUAAUUUUUAAUCAAUUAAUUUAGCAAAACUGUAAAUACUCCCUAAAUCAUUGGACUAACCACUAUAAAAUUGCUAUUCCUUUGGGAAACAAAUACAACAAAGGUUCCAAACCUCUUUGAACUUCAUCAUAUUUUAUUACAUGAUUCAAAUAUGUAUUAAAAUAGUAUUCUCAAAUUUUUUGAGUUUUUCUCAAAAUCUAUGUGUUAACCCCUACGAAAAUAAUGAGUUUUCGGUAAAUGCUCUAUAUAUGAAGCCUAUAAUCUUUAAAUUUGUUUUAAAAUUUAAAACCACAUUAUACCUUUGUAUUAAUGUAUGAUAAACUUCAUUUCAUGGUACAUGGACAUCGUUAUAAUUUUUUAUCCAUUAAUUUAGCAAAACUGCCAAUACUCCCUAAAUCAUUGGACUAACCAUUAUAAAAUUGCUAUUCCCUAGAGAAACGAAGACAACAAAGGUUCCAAACCUCUUUGAACUUCAUCAUAUAUUAUUACAUGAUUCAAAUAUGUAUUAAAACAGUAUCCUCAAAUUUUUUAAAUUUUUCUCAAAAUCUAUGUGUACCCCCCUACGAAAAUAGUGUGUUUUCGGUAAAUGCUCUAUAUAUGAAGCCUAUAAUCUUUUAAUUCGUUUUAAAAUUUAUAACCACAUUAUACUCUGUAUUAAUUUAUGAUAAACUCUCUUUUCAUGGUACAUGGACAUCGUUCUAAUUUUUAUCAAUUAAUUUAGCAAAACUGUAAAUACUCGGUAAAUGCUCUAUAUAUGAAGCCUAUAAUCUUUAAAUUUGUUUUAAAAUUUUAAACCACAUUAUACCUUUGUAUUAAUGUAUGAUAAACUUCUUUUCAUGGUACAUGGACAUCGUUCUAAUUUUUUAUCCAUUAAUUUAGCUGCAAAUACUCCCUAAAUCAUUAGACUAACCACUAUAAAAUUGCUAUUCCUAGAGAAACGGAGACAACAAAGGUUCCAAACCUCUUUGAACUUCAUCAUAUAUUAUUACAUGAUUCAAAUAUGUAUUAAAACAGUAUUUUCAAUUUUUUGAAUUUUUCUCAAAAUCUAUUGUUCUAACCCCCUACGAAAUAGUGAGUUUUCGGUAAAUGCUCUAUAUAUGAAGCCUAUAAUCUUUAAAUUUGUUUUAAAAUUUAAAACCACAUUAUACCUUUGUAUUAAUGUAUGAUAAACUUCUUUUCAUGGUACAUGGACAUCGUUCUAAUUUUUAUCCAUUAAUUUAGCAAAACUGCAAAUACUCCCUAAAUCAUUAGACUAACCACUAUAAAAUGCUAUUCCCUAGAGAAACGGAGACAACAAAGGUUCCAAACCUCUUUGAACUUCAUCAUAUUUUAUUACAUGAUUCAAAUAUGUAUUAAACAGUAUUUCAAUUUUUUGAUUUUUUCAAAAUCUAUGUGUACCCCUACGAAAAUAGUGAGUUUUCGGUAAUGCUCUAUAUAUGAAGCCUAUAAUCUUUAAUUUGUUUUAAAAUUUAAACCACAUUAUAACUUUGUAUUAAUGUAUGAUAAACUUCUUUUCAUGGUACAUGGACAUCGUUCUAAUUUUUUAUCCAUUAAUUUAGCAAAACUGCAAAUACUCCCUAAAUCAUUAGACUAACCACUAUAAAAUUGCUAUUCCCUAGAGAAACGGAGACAACAAAGGUUCCAAACCUCUUUGAACUUCAUCAUAUUUUAUUACAUGAUUCAAUAUGUAUUAAAACAGUAUUUUCAAUUUUUUUUUUUUUUCUCAAAAUCUAUGUACCCCCCUACGAAAAGUGAGUUUCGGUAAAUGCUCUAUAUAUGAAGCCUAUAAUCUUUAAUUGUUUUAAAAUUUAAAACCACAUUAUACCUUUGUAUUAAUGUAUGAUAAACUUCUUUUCAUGGUACAUGGACAUCGUUCUAAUUUUUUAUCCAUUAAUUUAGCAAAACUGCAAAUACUCCCUAAAUCAUUGGACUAACCACUAUAAAAUUGCUAUUCCCUAGAGAAACGGAGACAACAAAGGUUCCAAACCUCUUUGAACUUCAUCAUAUAUUUUACAUGAUUCAAAUAUGUAUUAAAACAGUUUUCAAAUUUUUGAAUUUUUCUCAAAAUCUAUGUGUAACCCCCUACGAAAAUAGUGAGUUUUCGGUAAAUGCUCUAUAUAUGAAGCCUAUAAUCUUUAAAUUUGUUUUAAAAUUUAAAACCACAUUAUACCUUUGUAUUAAUGUAUGAUAAACUUCUUUUCAUGGUACAUGGACAUCGUUCUAAUUUUUUAUCCAUUAAUUUAGCAAAACUGCAAAUACUCCCUAAAUCAUUGGACUAACCACUAUAAAAUUGCUAUUCCCUAGAGAAACGGAGACAACAAAGGUUCCAAACCUCUUUGAACUUCAUCAUAUGUUAUUACAUGAUUCAACUAUGUAUUAAAACAGUAUUCUCAAAUUUUUUGAAUUUUCUCAAAAUCUAUGCGUUAACCCCUAUGAAAAUAGUGAGUUUUCAGUAAAUGCUCUAUAUAUGAAGCCUAUAAUCUUUAAAUUUGUUUUAAAAUUUAAAACCACAUUAUACCUUUGUAUUAAUGUAUGAUAAACUUCUUUUCAUGGUACAUGGACAUCGUUCUAAUUUUUUAUCCAUUAAUUUAGCAAAACUGCAAAUACUCCCUAAAUCAUUGGACUAACCACUAUAAAAUUGCUAUUCCCUAGAGAAACGGAGACAACAAAGGUUCCAAACCUCUUUGAACUUCAUCAUAUUUUAUUACAUGAUUCAAAUAUGUAUUAAAACAGUAUUUUCAAUUUUUGAAUUUUUUUUCAAAAUCUAUGUGUUAACCCCUACGAAAAUAGUGAGUUUUCGGUAAAUGCUCUAUAUAUGAAGCCUAUAAUCUUUAAAUUUGUUUUAAAAUUUAAAACCACAUUAUACCUUUGUAUUAAUGUAUGAUAAACUUCUUUUCAUGGUACAUGGACAUCGUUCUAAUUUUUUAUCCAUUAAUUUAGCAAAACUGCAAAUACUCCCUAAAUCAUUAGACUAACCACUAUAAAAUUGCUAUUCCCUAGAGAAACGGAGACAACAAAGGUUCCAAACCUCUUUGAACUUCAUCAUAUUUAUUACAUGAUUCAAAUAUGUAUUAAAACAGUAUUUUCAAAUUUUUUGAAUUUUUCUCAAAAUCUAUGUGUACCCCCUACGAAAAUAGUGAGUUUUCGGUAAAUGCUCUAUAUAUGAAGCCUAUAAUCUUUAAAUUUGUUUUAAAAUUUAAAACCACAUUAUACCUUUGUAUUAAUGUAUGAUAAACUUCUUUUCAUGGUACAUGGACAUCGUUCUAAUUUUUUAUCCAUUAAUUUAGCAAAACUGCAAAUACUCCCUAAAUCAUUAGACUAACCACUAUAAAAUUGCUAUUCCCUAGAGAAACGGAGACAACAAAGGUUCCAAACCUCUUUGAACUUCAUCAUAUGUUAUUACAUGAUUCAAAUACGUAUUAAAACAGUAUUUUCAAAUUUUUUGAAUUUUUCUCAAAAUCUAUGUGUUAACCCCUACGAAAAUAGUGAGUUUUCGGUAAAUGCUCUAUAUAUGAAGCCUAUAAUCUUUAAAUUUGUUUUAAAAUUUAAAACCACAUUAUACCUUUGUAUUAAUGUAUGAUAAACUUCUUUUCAUGGUACAUGGACAUCGUUCUAAUUUUUUAUCCAUUAAUUUACUGCAAAUACUCCCUAAAUCAUUGGACUAACCACUAUAAAAUUGCUAUUCCCUAGAGAAACGGAGACAACAAAGGUUCCAAACUCUUUGAACUUCAUCAUAUUUAUUACAUGAUUCAAAUAUGUAUUAAAACAGUAUUGUCAAAUUUUUGAAAUUUUCUCAAAAUCUAUGUGUACCCCCCUACGAAAAUAGUGAGUUUUCGGUAAAUGCUCUAUAUAUGAAGCCUAUAAUCUUUAAAUUUGUUUUAAAAUUUAAAACCACAUUAUACCUUUGUAUUAAUGUAUGAUAAACUUCUUUUCAUGGUACAUGGACAUCGUUCUAAUUUUUUAUCCAUUAAUUUAGCAAAACUGCAAAUACUCCCUAAAUCAUUGGACUAACCACUAUAAAAUUGCUAUUCCCUAGAGAAACGGAGACAACAAAGGUUCCAAACCUCUUUGAACUUCAUCAUAUUUUAUUACAUGAUUCAAAUAUGUAUUAAAACAGUAUUUUCAAUUUUUUGAUUUUUUUCAAAAUCUAUGUGUUAACCCCUACGAAAAUAGUGAGUUUUCGGUAAAUGCUCUAUAUAUGAAGCCUAUAAUCUUUAAUUUGUUUUAAAAUUUAAAACCACAUUAUAACUUUGUAUUAAUGUAUGAUAAACUUCUUUUCAUGGUACAUGGACAUCGUUCUAAUUUUUUAUCCAUUAAUUUAGCAAAACUGCAAAUACUCCCUAAAUCAUUGGACUAACCACUAUAAAAUUGCUAUUCCCUAGAGAAACGGAGACAACAAAGGUUCCAAACCUCUUUGAAAUUCAUCAUAUGUUAUUACAUGAUUCAAAUAUGUAUUAAAACAGUAUUUUCAAUUUUUUUAAUUUUUUUUCAAAAUCUAUGUGUAACCCCUACGAAAAUAGUGAGUUUUCGGAAAAUGCUCUAUAUAUGAAGCCUAUAAUCUUUAAAUUUGUUUUAAAAUUUAAAACCACAUUAUACCUUUGUAUUAAUGUAUGAUAAACUUCUUUUCAUGGUACAUGGACAUGUUCUAAUUUUUAUCCAUUAAUUUAGCAAAACUGCAAAUACUCCCUAAAUCAUUGGACUAACCACUACAAAAUUGCUAUUCCCUAGAGAAACGGAGACAACAAAGGUUCCAAACGUCUUUGAACUUCAUCAUAUUUUAUUACAUGAUUCAAAUAUGUAUUAAAACAGUAUUUUCAAUUUUUUCAAUUUUUUCUCAAAAUCUAUGUGUUAACCCCUACGAAAAUAGUGAGUUUUCGGUAAAUGCUCUAUAUAUGAAGCCUAUAAUCUUUAAAUUUGUUUUAAAAUUUAAAACCACAUUAUACCUUUGUAUUAAUGUAUGAUAAACUUCUUUUCAUGGUACAUGGACAUCGUUCUAAUUUUUUAUCCAUUAAUUUAGCAAAACUGCAAAUACUCCCUAAAUCAUUAGACUAACCACUAUAAAAUUAAUAUUCCCUAGAGAAACAGAGACAAAAAAGGUUCCAAACCUCUUUUAACUUCAUCAUAUUUUAUUACAUAAUUCAAAUAUGUAUUAAAACAGUAUUUUCAAUUUUCUCAAAAUCUAUGUGUACCCCCUACGAAAAUAGUGAGUUUUCGGUAAAUGCUCUAUAUAUGAAGCCUAUAAUCUUUAAAUUUGUUUUAAAAUUUAAAACCACAUUAUACCUUUGUAUUAAUGUAUGAUAAACUUCUUUUCAUGGUACAUGGACAUCGUUCUAAUUUUUUAUCCAUUAAUUUAGCAAAACUGCAAAUACUCCCUAAAUCAUUGGACUAACCACUAUAAAAUUGCUAUUCCCUAGAGAAACGGAGACAACAAUAGUUCCAAACCACUUGGACUUCAUCGUAUUUAAUUACAUGAUUCAAAUAUGCAUUAAAACAGUAUUUUCAAUUUUUUUGAAUUUUUUCUCAAAUCUAUGUGUUAACCCCCCUACGAAAUAGUGAGUUUUCGGUAAAUGCUCUAUAUAUGAAGCCUAUAAUCUUUAAAUUUGUUUUAAAAUUUAAAACCACAUUAUACCUUUGUAUUAAUGUAUGAUAAACUUCUUUUCAUGGUACAUGGACAUCGUUCUAAUUUUUUAUCCAUUAAUUUAGCAAAACUGCAAAUACUCCCUAAAUCAUUGGACUAACCACUAUAAAAUUGCUAUUCCCUAGAGAAACGGAGACAACAAAGGUUCCAAACCUCUUUGAACUUCAUCAUAUUUUAUUACAUGAUUCAAAUAUGUAUUAAAACAGUAUUUUCAAAUUUUUUGAAUUUUUCUCAAAAUCUAUGUGUUAACCCUACGAAAAUAGUGAGUUUUCGGUAAAUGCUCUAUAUAUGAAGCCUAUAAUCUUUAAAUUUGUUUUAAAAUUUAAAACCACAUUAUACCUUUGUAUUAAUGUAUGAUAAACUUCUUUUCAUGGUACAUGGACAUCGUUCUAAUUUUUUAUCCAUUAAUUUAGCAAAACUGCAAAUACUCCCUAAAUCAUUAGACUAACCACUAUAAAAUUGCUAUUCCCUAGAGAAAACGGAGACAACAAAGGUUCCAAACCUCUUUGAACUUCAUCAUAUUAUUACAUGAUUCAAAUAUGUAUUAAAACAGUAUUUCAAUUUUUUGAAUUUUUCUCAAAAUCUAUGUGUAACCCCCUACGAAAAUAGUGAGUUUUCGGUAAAUGCUCUAUAUAUGAAGCCUAUAAUCUUUAAAUUUGUUUUAAAAUUUAAAACCACAUUAUACCUUUGUAUUAAUGUAUGAUAAACUUCUUUUCAUGGUACAUGGACAUCGUUCUAAUUUUUUAUCCAUUAAUUUAGCAAAACUGCAAAUACUCCCUAAAUCAUUGGACUAACCACUAUAAAAUUGCUAUUCCCUAGAGAAACGGAGACAACAAAGGUUCCAAACCUCUUUGAACUUCAUCAUAUUUAUUACAUGAUUCAAAUAUGUAUUAAAACAGUAUUUUCAAUUUUUUUGAUUUUUUCUCAAAAUCUAUGUGUUAACCCCUACGAAAAUAGUGAGUUUUCGGUAAAUGCUCUAUAUAUGAAGCCUAUAAUCUUUAAAUUUGUUUUAAAAUUUAAAACCACAUUAUACCUUUGUAUUAAUGUAUGAUAAACUUCUUUUCAUGGUACAUGGACAUCAUUCUAAUUUUUUAUCCAUUAAUUUAGCAAAACUGCAAAUACUCCCUAAAUCAUUGGACUAACCACUAUAAAAUUGCUAUUCCCUAGAGAAACGGAGACAACAAAGCUUCCAAACCUCUUUGAACUUCAUCAUAUUUUAUUACAUGAUUCAAAUAUUUAUUAAAACAGUAUUCUCAAAUUUUUUGAUUUUUUCUCAACAUUUAUGUGUACCCCCCUACGAAAAUAAGGAGUUUUCGGUAAAUGCUCUAUAUAUGAAGCCUAUAAUCUUUAAUUUUUAAAAAAAAUUUAAAACCACAUUAUACCUUUGUAUUAAUGUAUGAUAAACUUCUUUUCAUGGUACAUGGACAUUUUUCUAAUUUUUUAUCCAUUAAUUUAGCAAAACUGCAAAUACUCACUAAAUCAUUGGACUAACCACUAUAAAAUUGCUAUUCCCUAGAGAAACGGAGACAACAAAGGUUCCAACCUCUUUGAACUUCAUCAUAUUUUAUUACAUGAUUCAAAUAUGUAUUAAAACAGUAUUUUCAAAUUUUUUGAAUUUUUCUCAAAAUCUAUGUGUUAACCCCUACGAAAAUAGUGAGUUUUCGGUAAAUGCUCUAUAUAUGAAGCCUAUAAUCUUUAAAUUUGUUUUAAAAUUUAAAACCACAUUAUACCUUUGUAUUAAUGUAUGAUAAACUUCUUUUCAUGGUACAUGGACAUCGUUCUAAUUUUUUAUCCAUUAAUUUACUGCAAAUACUCCCUAAAUCAUUGGACUAACCACUAUAAAAUUGCUAUUCCCUAGAGAAACGGAGACAACAAAGGUUCCAAACUCUUUGAACUUCAUCAUAUAUUAUUACAUGAUUCAAUAUGUAUUAAAACAGUAUUUCAAAUUUUUGAAUUUUUCUCAAAAUCUAUGUGUAACCCCCCUACGAAAAUAGUGAGUUUUCGGUAAAUGCUCUAUAUAUGAAGCCUAUAAUCUUUAAAUUUGUUUUAAAAUUUAAAACCACAUUAUAACUUUGUAUUAAUGUAUGAUAAACUUCUUUUCAUGGUACAUGGACAUCGUUCUAAUUUUUUAUCCAUUAAUUUAGCAAAACUGCAAAUACUCCCUAAAUCAUUGGACUAACCACUAUAAAAUUGCUAUUCCCUAGAGAAACAGAGACAACAAAGGUUCCAAACCUCUUUGAACUUCAUCAUAUUUUUUUACAUGAUUCAAAUAUGUAUUAAAACAGUAUUUUCAAUUUUUUUGAAUUUUUUUCAAAAUCUAUGUGUAACCCCUACGAAAUAGUGAGUUUUCGGUAAAUGCUCUAUAUAUGAAGCCUAUAAUCUUUAAAGUUGUUUUAAAAUUUAAAACCACAUUAUAACUUUGUAUUAAUGUAUGAUAAACUUUUUUUCAUGGUACAUGGACAUCGUUCUAAUUUUUUAUCCAUUAAUUUAGCAAAACUGCAAAUACUCCCUAAAUCAUUAGACUAACCACUAUAAAAUUGCUAUUCCCUAGAGAAACGGAGACAACAAAGGUUCCAAACCUCUUUGAACUUCAUCAUAUUUUAUUACUUGAUUCAAAUAUGUAUUAAAACAGUAUUUUCAAAUUUUUCAAUUUUUUCUCAAAAUCUAUGUGUAAAUGCUCUAUAUAUGAAGCCUAUAAAUCUUAAUAAUUUGUUUAAAUUUAAAAAAACACAUUAUAACUUUGUAUUAAUGUAUGAUAAACUUCUUUUCAUGGUACAUGGACAUCGUUCUAAUUUUUUAUCCAUUAAUUUAGCAAAACUGCAAAUACUCCCUAAAUCAUUGGACUAACCACUAUAAAAUUGCUAUUCCCUAGAGAAACGGAGACAACAAAGGUUCCAAACCUCUUUGAACUUCAUCAUAUGUUAUUACAUGAUUCAAAUAUGUAUUAAAACAGUAUUUUCAAUUUUUUUGAAUUUUUCUCAAAAUCUAUGUGUAACCCCCCUACGAAAAUAGUGAGUUUUCGGUAAAUGCUCUAUAUAUGAAGCCUAUAAUCUUUAAAUUUGUUUUAAAAUUUAAAACCACAUUAUACCUUUGUAUUAAUGUAUGAUAAACUUCUUUUCAUGGUACAUGGACAUCGUUCUAAUUUUUUAUCCAUUAAUUUAGCAAAACUGCAAAUACUCCCUAAAUCAUUAGACUAACCACUAUAAAAUUGCUAUUCCCUAGAGAAACGGAGACAACAAAGGUUCCAAACCUCUUUGAACUUCAUCAUAUAUUAUUACAUUAUUCAUAUAUGUAUUAAAAUAGUAUUGUCAAACUUUUUGAAUUUUUCUCAAAAUCUAUGUGUCCCCCUACGAAAAUAGUGAGUUUUCGGUAAUGCUCUCUAUAUAUGAAGCCUAUAAUCUUUAAAUUUCUUGUAAAAUUUAAAACCACAUUAUAACUUUGUCUUAACGUAUGAUAAACUUUUUUUCAUGGUACUUGGACAUCGUUCUAAUUUUUUAUCCAUUAAUUUAGCAAAACUGCAAAUACUCCCUAAAUCAUUGGACUAACCACUAUAAAAUUGCUAUUCCCUAGAGAAACGGAGACAACAAAGGUUCCAAACCUCUUUGAACUUCAUCAUAUGUUAUUACAUGAUUCAAAUAUGUAUUAAAACAGUAUUUUCAUUUUUUUUUAUUUUUUUUCAAAAUCUAUGUGUUAACCCCUACGCAAAUAGUGAGUUUUCGGUAAAUACUCUAUAUAUGAAGCCUAUAAUCUUUAAAUUUGUUGUAAAAUUUAAAACCACAUUAUACCUUUGUCUUAAUGUAUGAUAAACUUCUUUUCAUGGUACAUGGACAUAGUUCUAAUUUUUUAUCCAUUAAUUUAGCAAAAUUGCAAAUACUCCCUAAAUUAUUAGACUAACCACUAUAAAAUUGCUAUUCCCUAGAGAAACGGAGACAACAAAGGUUCCAAACCUCUUUGAACUUCAUCAUAU